GGAUGUGAGGGUAGGGCUGUAACAAAUGUCCUCUAGUGCACUGAUUGCCAGGGUUGAUUCAGCUGACCUGCCUAAUUAGGCAGGUGUUCCCCUUCCUCCCUCACUACAUGCAUUACUCUCAAAGCUGUGCUCUUGUUGAAGAGAUGACUUUUCCUGAUAGAAGAGGACCAUUCUCUGGUCAAAGAUGUGUGAGAAGCUGUCCUUUCCUGUUCCAACCUCCAAGUAAGCUCUCAAGAGCCACACACUGCAGCAGGAUUGAGAUUCAAACACACACACACACACACACACACACAGCCUCUGAGGCAGAGUUCCUGAAUUUU
RNAcentral lists this small nuclear RNA (320 nucleotides) under Jaculus jaculus (lesser Egyptian jerboa). RNAcentral describes it as "7SK RNA (ENSJJAG00000007000.1)". It matches the Rfam family "7SK RNA". From Rfam's summary of the family: 7SK was discovered as an abundant small nuclear RNA in the mid-70s but a possible function has only recently been suggested. Lineage: Eukaryota; Metazoa; Chordata; Mammalia; Rodentia; Dipodidae. The record is from Rfam by way of RNAcentral.